Sceloporus undulatus (fence lizard) is the source of this 1228-nucleotide long non-coding RNA. RefSeq lists it as uncharacterized. The record is from RefSeq and is a predicted model, not a curated record. Lineage: Eukaryota; Metazoa; Chordata; Lepidosauria; Squamata; Phrynosomatidae. The transcript is spliced from 3 exons.
GCAGCAGCAGCAGCAGCAGCAGCAGCACAGGUCAUAAACAGUCCUGGGCAUAAAACACUGAACCUCUGGACCAUGGCAACCACUUUCAGGCCAGAAUGCAGAGGGAAGCCAUUGAACUCCACAAACACCUGGACAACUUCUACAGGAAAGAGGAAACCCGGCUUAAAAAAAGAAGCAGCUGUACCUCGUCUUGCAGCAAUGGAUAAAGAUAAGAAGAAAGACAGUAAAAAGAGAGAGAGGCCUUUGCCUCCACCUGCACAUGAUGCUUCUCUUGACACUGGCACUUCCAUACAGACCAUUCUGCCAGCUGCAAAUCAAGCGGAUGAACAACUGGCAGCUCCCUUGGUUGCCAAAGAAGAACCGAAAGAGCCAGAAGUGCUUCCAGUCCCAGAACCCAUGGAGUCUGAGGAGCCUGUUCUCACUUGACUCAUUGUUGAAAGUUAUGAAGGUGAAAAAGUUCAUGGAUUAUAUGAGGGAGAAGGAACAGCAUGUUUUCAAGGGAGCAAUGUUUAUAAGAUGGGUAUAUUUAAUUUUUGGCUUCAUGAGCUUCAAAGCGCUCAAUGUGUCAGGCCCCUCUCAUCCCCUGACAUUGACUCUGGAUCCAGAUGGUUGCUUUUUCUGUUCCUUUCCCAUUGAUCUCUUGUCCCAUCCCAUGCCCAGGUCUUAAGCCACAUCUGCACAUCCAUGCCCCCCCCUCCUCAAAAAGGAUUAUUUUGUUGGUAUUAAAACACCUUUUUGGGUAGAUAUAUUGAUGAACUACUUUUUAAUUUUGAAGGACAUGUUUUCAGAGGGUCUCAUGCAUGGAUGAGGAACUUACACUUGGGCCGAUGGAGUUAAGUAUGAGGUAACACGUUGUUAAAUGGAUCAUCAUUACAGCUGUUUGUAGUGAGGGCCAAAGUGAUGAAACCUCUACCUUGCCAGUACCUGCGCUGGACUCUCAGGGCAUAGAUGGCUUCAUCAUUAUGAUGCCUGACUAUCUAAGAAUGACAUGCUGGAUAACAUGACAUGCAUCUGAUGAAGUGAGCUAUAGUCCGUGCAAGUUAAUACUACAGUAUAAGAAAUUUGGUAAUCUUUAAGACAGCAUAGUCUUUUUAAUGAAGGCUGUUUAUUUUUUCUUAAUGAGAACCAAUUGCUCACAGAUAGGUUGGUGAUUUCUCUCUGUGUGUGAUGAACACUUUGCAAGCUCUGAUUCCUAACAUCACACUGCCAUCCCUUCAGCUAAAAAGAU